AUUGAACGCUGGCGGCAGGCCUAACACAUGCAAGUCGGGCGGAUGAAGGGAGCUUGCUCCUGGAUUCAGCGGCGGACGGGUGAGUAAUGCCUAGGAAUCUGCCUGGUAGUGGGGGAUAACGUCCGGAAACGGGCGCUAAUACCGCAUACGUCCUGAGGGAGAAAGUGGGGGAUCUUCGGACCUCACGCUAUCAGAUGAGCCUAGGUCGGAUUAGCUAGUUGGUGGGGUAAAGGCCUACCAAGGCGACGAUCCGUAACUGGUCUGGGAGGAUGAUCAGUCACACUGGAACUGAGACACGGUCCAGACUCCUACGGGAGGCAGCAGUGGGGAAUAUUGGACAAUGGGCGAAAGCCUGAUCCAGCCAUGCCGCGUGUGUGAAGAAGGUCUUCGGAUUGUAAAGCACUUUAAGUUGGGAGGAAGGGCAGUAAGUUAAUACCUUGCUGUUUUGACGUUACCAACAGAAUAAGCACCGGCUAACUUCGUG
This 484-nucleotide ribosomal RNA is filed under the name uncultured bacterium. RNAcentral describes it as "partial 16S ribosomal RNA". It matches the Rfam family "Bacterial small subunit ribosomal RNA", at positions 30 to 507 of the family's 1533-position model. The record is from RNAcentral.